UGUUCAGAUUCUGUGCAAUUUGAACCUGUCAUGUAUAGGGUUCACAGGUUUUAUUUUAAAGGUGGGCUCUCUACCGUUCUUACUCCUGCUCUACUCGUAAAAGAUUCUGAAGCAACAAUCUAGGUUUCCCCCAGAAGUUAAAUUCCCUUGUUCAUAAAAUGAUCCCAGCUCCCUCCUUUUUUUUUUUUUAAAUAAGAGUGUUGGAUUUGAUCCCCGAGGUACUGCUGAAGUUCUGAGAGCUGUGGUUUUAACUCAGCUGAUAUAAACACAAGAUUAAGGAUGUCAGCAAGUUUGAAGUGAAGUAUUCACAAAAUAAGGAUUCAGUGUAUCAGAGAGCAACUUUUCCAUGGGGUGGAUAAUGUCAUAAGACUAAGUGUACCUGGUAUAGAUGAGAAUUACUGAAGGUAGAAUUUUUUCUCUCUGAGUUUUAUGAAACUUCUUAAGUAUGUCUUGUGUUCUCAUAUUGCUUUUUGAAAAGCAAAGGACAUUUUGAAAACACAAAAUGCAGUGAGCAUGGGUAAUCCUUAGGAAAGAAAUAAAUUGGAAAGUGAAAAUUUAUUUCUGGUACAUCACGAGAUGGCUGAAGGGAACUCAUGUAAAAUAUCUUUCCAUUAAUAAAUUGACUCAGAUUGUUGAAAAAAAAAAAAAGUCGUCAUUUUCCCCAUAGAACAUUUCAGCUGAGGCUUGAAUCCUAGGUACAGUGCUCAGGUACAACGUAUAUAGUCUCUCGAUUUUCCAUGGGA
Molecule: long non-coding RNA, 743 nt
Filed under: Bos taurus (domestic cattle)
Lineage: Eukaryota; Metazoa; Chordata; Mammalia; Artiodactyla; Bovidae
Description: long non-coding RNA NONBTAT001590
Source: RNAcentral